This 360-nucleotide unclassified non-coding RNA is filed under the name Hevea brasiliensis (rubber tree). The record is from RNAcentral. Lineage: Eukaryota; Viridiplantae; Streptophyta; Magnoliopsida; Malpighiales; Euphorbiaceae.
AUGGCAUGAUAUGUUAAUUUUGUAAUUGAGGAUAGGCUUCAAUAAUUGAUGUUAAAGCUGGAAUCUUGAUAAUAUUGUAGCGAGGGAAGCCUCCUUCCUCCAAUAAUUUCUUCCAUUCAAGUUCAGUCCUCUCCUUCCCACCCGAUGAAUGUGCAAUCAUUAGCAGAUCAAACACCAAACCUGUGUCAUCAAAUAGGUCAUCACCCUCUGGUUUCAGAACUACAUCAACUAUGAUAACCUUCCCUGUUUUCUCAGGUAUCGCUUUCCUGCAAUUUUUCAGUAUCUUCACACAAUCUUCAUCUCCCCAAUCGUGCAUUAUCCACUUCAUGAUAAUAGCAUCAGCGUUUGGAAUGGCUUCAA